Molecule: unclassified non-coding RNA, 138 nt
Filed under: uncultured Helotiales
Lineage: Eukaryota; Fungi; Ascomycota; Leotiomycetes; Helotiales
Description: sequence contains ITS2
Source: RNAcentral
CAACCCUCAAGCUCUGCUUGGUGUUGGGCCUCGCCGCUCGCGGCGGGCCUCAAACUCAGUGGCGGUGCCGGCUGGCUCCAAGCGUAGUACUGUUCUCGCUUUGGGUCCUGCCGGUUCCCUCCAGAACUCUCUUCUAGG